GAUGAACGCUAGCGGCAGGCUUAACACAUGCAAGUCGAGGGGUAUGGGAAGCUUGCUUUCCAGAGACCGGCGCACGGGUGCGUAACGCGUAUGCAAUCUACCUUUUACAGGGGGAUAGCCCAGAGAAAUUUGGAUUAAUACCCCAUGGUAUAUGUGAAUGGCAUCAUUUACAUAUUAAAGUCACAACGGUAAAAGAUGAG
This 200-nucleotide ribosomal RNA is filed under the name uncultured bacterium. RNAcentral's name for it is "partial 16S ribosomal RNA". It matches the Rfam family "Bacterial small subunit ribosomal RNA", at positions 28 to 229 of the family's 1533-position model. The record is from RNAcentral.